AUGCAGUCGCACGGACCUUUCGGGGUGAGUGGCGGACGGGUGAGUAACGCGUAGGGAUCUAUCCAUGGGUGGGGGAUAACACCGGGAAACUGGUGCUAAUACCGCAUGAUACCUGAGGGUCAAAGGCGCAAGUCGCCUGUGGAGGAGCCUGCGUUCGAUUAGCUUGUUGGUGGGGUAAAGGCCUACCAAGGCGAUGAUCGAUAGCUGGUCUGAGAGGAUGAUCAGCCACACUGGGACUGAGACACGGCCCAGACUCCUACGGGAGGCAGCAGUGGGGAAUAUUGGACAAUGGGCGAAAGCCUGAUCCAGCAAUGCCGCGUGUGUGAAGAAGGUCUUCGGAUUGUAAAGCACUUUCGACGGGGACGAUGAUGACGGUACCCGUAGAAGAAGCCCCGGCUAACUUCGUGCCAGCAGCCGCGGUAAUACGAAGGGGGCUAGCGUUGCUCGGAAUGACUGGGCGUAAAGGGCGCGUAGGCGGUUCAUACAGUCAGAUGUGAAAUUCCAGGGCUUAACCUUGGGGCUGCAUUUGAUACGUAUGGACUAGAGUGUGAGAGAGGGUUGUGGAAUUCCCAGUGUAGAGGUGAAAUUCGUAGAUAUUGGGAAGAACACCGGUGGCGAAGGCGGCAACCUGGCUCAUUACUGACGCUGAGGCGCGAAAGCGUGGGGAGCAAACAGGAUUAGAUACC
RNAcentral lists this ribosomal RNA (686 nucleotides) under Asaia sp. AR5. RNAcentral's name for it is "bacterial SSU rRNA". It matches the Rfam family "Bacterial small subunit ribosomal RNA", at positions 55 to 786 of the family's 1533-position model. RNAcentral also lists the same sequence under 2 other names. Lineage: Bacteria; Pseudomonadati; Pseudomonadota; Alphaproteobacteria; Acetobacterales; Acetobacteraceae. The record is from RNAcentral.